GAUGAACGCUGGCGGCGUGCCUAAUACAUGCGAGUCGAGCGAACAGAUGAGGAGCUUGCUCCUCUGACGUUAGCGGCGGACGGGCGAGUAACACGUGGAUAACCUACCUAUAAGACUGGGAUAACUUCGGGAAACCGGAGCUAAUACCGGAUAAUAUAUUGAACCGCAUGGUUCAAUAGUGAAAGACGGUUUUGCUGUCACUUAUAGAUGGAUCCGCGCCUCAUUAGCUAGUUGGUAAGUUAACGGCUUACCAAGGCAACGAUACGUAGCCGACCUGAGAGGGUGAUCGGCCACGCUGGUAGUGAGACACGGGGAAGACUCCUACCGUAGGCAGCAGUAGGGAGUCUUCCGCAAGGGACGAAAGCCUGACGGAGCGCCGCCGAGUGAGUGAUGAAGGUCUUCGGAUCGUAAAACUCUGUUAUUAGGGAAGAACAUAUGUGUAAGUAACUAUGCACGUCUUGACGGUACCUAAUCAGAAAGCCACGGCUAACUACGUG
RNAcentral lists this ribosomal RNA (497 nucleotides) under uncultured bacterium. RNAcentral describes it as "partial 16S ribosomal RNA". It matches the Rfam family "Bacterial small subunit ribosomal RNA", at positions 28 to 507 of the family's 1533-position model. The record is from RNAcentral.